GGGCGUGUGGCCAAGUGGAUAAGGCGUCUGCCUCCUAAGUAGAAGACCGAGGGUUCGAAUCCCUCCUCGCUCA
Molecule: transfer RNA, 73 nt
Filed under: Gonapodya prolifera JEL478
Lineage: Eukaryota; Fungi; Monoblepharomycota; Monoblepharidomycetes; Monoblepharidales; Gonapodyaceae
Rfam family: tRNA
About the family: Transfer RNA (tRNA) molecules are approximately 80 nucleotides in length. Their secondary structure includes four short double-helical elements and three loops (D, anti-codon, and T loops).
Source: Rfam by way of RNAcentral